GGCCUACGGGAGGCAGCAGUGGGGAAUAUUGGGCAAUGGGCGCAAGCCUGACCCAGCAACGCCGCGUGAAGGAAGAAGGCUUUCGGAUUGUAAACUUCUUUUCUCAGGGACGAAGCAAGUGACGGUACCUGAGGAAUAAGCCACGGCUAACUACGUGCCAGCAGCCGCGGUAAUACGUAGGUGGCAAGCGUUAUCCGGAUUUACUGGGUGUAAAGGGCGUGUAGGCGGGACUGCAAGUCAGAUGUGAAAACCAUGGGCUCAACCUUGGGCCUGCAUUUGAAACUGGAGUUCUUGAGUACUGGAGG
Molecule: ribosomal RNA, 305 nt
Filed under: uncultured bacterium
Lineage: Bacteria
Description: bacterial SSU rRNA
Rfam family: Bacterial small subunit ribosomal RNA
Source: RNAcentral